RNAcentral lists this ribosomal RNA (497 nucleotides) under uncultured bacterium. RNAcentral describes it as "partial 16S ribosomal RNA". It matches the Rfam family "Bacterial small subunit ribosomal RNA", at positions 28 to 507 of the family's 1533-position model. The record is from RNAcentral.
GAUGAACGCUGGCGGCGUGCCUAAUACAUGCAAGUCGAGCGAACGGACGAGAAGCUUGCUUCUCUGAUGUUAGCGGCGGACGGGUGAGUAACACGUGGAUAACCUACCUAUAAGACUGGGAUAACUUCGGGAAACCGGAGCUAAUACCGGAUGAUAUUUUGAACCGCAUGGUUCAAAAGUGAAAGACGGUCUUGCUGUCACUUAUAGAUGGAUCCGCGCUGCAUUAGCUAGUUGGUAAGGUAACGGCUUACCAAGGCAACGAUGCAUAGCCGACCUGAGAGGGUGAUCGGCCACACUGGACCUGAGACACGGUCCAGACUCCUACGGGAGGCAGCAGUAGGGAAUCUUCCGCAAUGGGCGAAAGCCUGACGGAGCAACGCCGCGUGAGUGAUGAAGGUCUUCGGAUCGUAAAACUCUGUUAUUAGGGAAGAACAUAUGUGUAAGUAACUGUGCACAUCUUGACGGCACCUAAUCAGAAAGCCACGGCUAACUACGUG